CGUUCCCGGGCCUUGUACACACCGCCCGUCACACCACGAAAGCUGGCAACACCCGAAGCCGGUGGCCUAACCCGCAAGGGAGGGAGCCGUCGAAGGUGGGGUUGGUGAUUGGGGUG
RNAcentral lists this ribosomal RNA (116 nucleotides) under uncultured bacterium. RNAcentral describes it as "partial 16S ribosomal RNA". It matches the Rfam family "Bacterial small subunit ribosomal RNA", at positions 1369 to 1482 of the family's 1533-position model. The record is from RNAcentral.